AGAGUUUGAUCCUGGCUCAGAAUCAACGCUGGCGGCGUGCCUAACACAUGCAAGUCGAACGAGAAAGUGGAGCAAUCCAUGAGUAGAGUGGCGACCGGGUGAGUAACACGUGACUAACCUACCUUCGAGUGGGGGAUAACCUCGGGAAACCGGGGCUAAUACCGCAUAAUGCCUUCGGGUUAAAGGAGCAAUUCGCUUGAAGAGGGGGUCGCGGCUGAUUAGCUAGUUGGCGGGGUAACGGCCCACCAAGGCGAUGAUCGGUAUCCGGCCUGAGAGGGCGCACGGACACACUGGAACUGAAACACGGUCCAGACUCCUACGGGAGGCAGCAGUGGGGAAUUUUGCGCAAUGGGGGAAACCCUGACGCAGCAACGCCGCGUGGAGGAUGAAGCCCCUUGGGGCGUAAACUCCUUUCGACCAAGACGAUAAUGACGGUACUGGUGGAAGAAGCACCGGCUAACUCUGUGCCAGCAGCCGCGGUAAUACAGAGGGUGCAAGCGUUGUUCGGAAUUAUUGGGCGUAAAGGGCGCGUAGGCGGCGCGGUAAGUCACCUGUGAAAUCUCCAAGCUUAACUUGGAGCCUGCAGGCGAAACUGCCGUGCUGGAGUAUGGGAGAGGUGCGUGGAAUUCCCGGUGUAGCGGUGAAAUGCGUAGAUAUCGGGGAGGAACACCUGUGGCGAAAGCGGCGCACUGGACCAUAACUGACGCUGAGGCGCGAAAGCUAGGGGAGCAAACAGGAUUAGAUACCCUAGUAGUCC
RNAcentral lists this ribosomal RNA (757 nucleotides) under uncultured bacterium. RNAcentral describes it as "bacterial SSU rRNA". It matches the Rfam family "Bacterial small subunit ribosomal RNA", at positions 8 to 796 of the family's 1533-position model. The record is from RNAcentral.